RNAcentral lists this long non-coding RNA (340 nucleotides) under Hordeum vulgare. RNAcentral's name for it is "long non-coding RNA (HVUL_LNC010972)". Lineage: Eukaryota; Viridiplantae; Streptophyta; Magnoliopsida; Poales; Poaceae. The record is from RNAcentral.
CUCUUCCGAGGGCAACACGGAUGGUGACCGACGCCGGUUCAUCCAGCAGCCCCCCCCCUUCCCAUGCCGUGGCGAGUAGCCUCCGUCGGGCAAAGCCCGCGGGGAGCCGGCCAUGGUGGGAGAUGCUCUUUUUUGUCGCGAUCGAGGACUACGUGUGGGCACGGGAUCCCACGCUGGGCAGCGACCAGAGUGGUGCAGCUUGCAUCCUCGUUCUCACAGGUGAAGUCGUCGCCAGGCGUGGCUGUCGGUGAGGAUCUGAAGUGGUGGUGACUCUCGAGUGGGUUUGAGACCAUCGAACGAGCGUUCCCUGAUCUGGGGCGUGAUGUGGCCUUGUCGGCUC